RNAcentral lists this small RNA (131 nucleotides) under Salmonella enterica subsp. enterica serovar Weltevreden. RNAcentral's name for it is "RtT sRNA". It matches the Rfam family "RtT RNA". From Rfam's summary of the family: This family represents a bacterial cis-regulatory element known as RtT RNA. The record is from RNAcentral. Lineage: Bacteria; Pseudomonadati; Pseudomonadota; Gammaproteobacteria; Enterobacterales; Enterobacteriaceae.
AUUCUACCCAUGUGGGGAAGGAUGAGAAGCUUCGACUAAGGUUCGAUUCGAGCGCAGCGAGAAAGCGUUGCCGCAGGCAACGACCCGAAGGGCGAAGCGCGCAGCGCUGAGUAAGCCUUCCCCCACCACCA